RNAcentral lists this transfer RNA (178 nucleotides) under plant metagenome. Its description in RNAcentral is "partial contains 5.8S ribosomal RNA, internal transcribed spacer 2, and large subunit ribosomal RNA". The stretch from base 31 to 120 matches the Rfam family "tRNA". From Rfam's summary of the family: Transfer RNA (tRNA) molecules are approximately 80 nucleotides in length. Their secondary structure includes four short double-helical elements and three loops (D, anti-codon, and T loops). The record is from RNAcentral.
CAGUUCAUCCGGUUCGUCAGGUUCUCCAUCGGAGGGCACGCCGAACUGGUCCGGCACCGGUCUCGAAAACCGGCACGGCUCCUGAACGGGGCCAUCAGGGUUCGACUCCCUGGCCCUCCGCUUGCGAGGAACGUAGAAGACGGAAUGAGGAAUGCAGAAGCGGCCGCACGCGUGGCGC